RNAcentral lists this ribosomal RNA (440 nucleotides) under uncultured bacterium. RNAcentral's name for it is "bacterial SSU rRNA". It matches the Rfam family "Bacterial small subunit ribosomal RNA", at positions 338 to 795 of the family's 1533-position model. The record is from RNAcentral.
CCUACGGGAUGCAGCAGUGGGGAAUAUUGGACAAUGGGCGAAAGCCUGAUCCAGCCAUGCCGCGUGAGUGAAGAAGGCCUUAGGGUUGUAAAGCUCUUUCACCGGUGAAGAUAAUGACGGUAACCGGAGAGGAAGCCCCGGCUAACUUCGUGCCAGCAGCCGCGGUAAUACGAAGGGGGCUAGCGUUGUUCGGAAUUACUGGGCGUAAAGCGCGCGUAGGCGGAUAGAUAAGUCAGAGGUGAAAUCCCGGGGCUCAACCCCGGAAUUGCCUUUGAUACUGUUUAUCUUGAGUGCAGAAGAGGUAAGUGGAAUUCCGAGUGUAGAGGUGAAAUUCGUAGAUAUUCGGAGGAACACCAGUGGCGAAGGCGGCUUACUGGUCUGCAACUGACGCUGAGGCGCGAAAGCUAGGGGAGCGAAUGGGAUUAGAUACCCCCGUAGUC